UUGGAGGUUGUCUUGAUUGUUAGCUGAUGCAAUGGGUACAGGCCUUCUUUGGGCAGCACUGUUCCCUGAUCAGAGAGUCCUUGACACAUAAGAAAGUGUGCCUUAAGGAAUAAUCAAGAAAGAGGCUGUCUUCAAGCUAGGAACUGCGUCCUGAGCAAGAGUUAAUCGCCCAACAUCUUAAUCUUGGAUAUUCUACCCUCUGGAAUUAUGGGAAGAAACAAAAGCAAUACUUCAACCACAUAGUCUACUGAAGUCAGUUAUAGCUGAAGAAUGAACUUUGUUUUGACUAAAUAUUACUUAAUUUGACAGUCAAUGAACCAUUUUUCUGAUGUGUAGAUAACCUAGUGACCUCUGGAAGAAGCCAGUCAUAUUUUGUAUGGGAACAUGAGCCCAAGAUGCAGAGGGUUUUACUUUUCCCUCUCUCAUGAAAAGCUAUUUGGAAUAUGGGAGCAUUGUGGGGGCAGUGCUAAGGAGUCAGUGUUAGGAGCUGACAGCAGGUGUAUAUUUGGUGUCUUGAUACUGUCCCUGAUCCUGUUGUGGGGAGUCAGGCUUUGCUUGCUUUUCUAUUCUAAAACAUCUUCCUCUAUUCUUUGAGCACAUGCCUAUUAGUGAGCACAUGCCUGUGUACAUAGGCCACACUUUCAAUUCAUGCCACAGUGGAUUUGUCUUGCUCCCAACCUGAACCAAGGAAAAGAUAAAAUGACUGUUGAAAAUAAAUUAAUGAUAUUUAGAAGCUG
Mastomys coucha (southern multimammate mouse) is the source of this 737-nucleotide long non-coding RNA. RefSeq lists it as uncharacterized. The record is from RefSeq and is a predicted model, not a curated record. NCBI's taxonomy places the organism in Eukaryota, Metazoa, Chordata, Mammalia, Rodentia, Muridae. The transcript has 2 exons.